RNAcentral lists this ribosomal RNA (492 nucleotides) under uncultured bacterium. RNAcentral's name for it is "partial 16S ribosomal RNA". It matches the Rfam family "Bacterial small subunit ribosomal RNA", at positions 29 to 507 of the family's 1533-position model. The record is from RNAcentral.
AGUGAACGCUGGCGGUAGGCCUAACACAUGCAAGUCGAACGGCAGCACAGUAAGCGCUUGCUCUUACGGGUGGCGAGUGGCGGACGGGUGAGGCAUACAUCGGAAUCUACUUUUUCGUGGGGGAUAACGUAGGGAAACUUACGCUAAUACCGCAUACGACCUACGGGUGAAAGCAGGGGAUAUUCGGACCUUGCGCGAUUGAAUGAGCCGAUGUCGGAUUAGCUAGUUGGCGGGGUAAAGGCCCACCAAGGCGACGAUCCGUAGCUGGUCUGAGAGGAUGAUCAGCCACACUGGAACUGAGACACGGUCCAGACUCCUACGGGAGGCAGCAGUGGGGAAUAUUGGACAAUGGGCGCAAGCCUGAUCCAGCCAUACCGCGUGAGUGAAGAAGGCCUUCGGGUUGUAAAGCCCUGUUGUUGGGAAAGAAAAGCAGCAGGUUAAUACCCCGCUGUUCUGACGGUACCCAAAGAAUAAGCACCGGCUAACUUCGUG